Molecule: ribosomal RNA, 402 nt
Filed under: uncultured Obesumbacterium sp.
Lineage: Bacteria; Pseudomonadati; Pseudomonadota; Gammaproteobacteria; Enterobacterales; Hafniaceae
Description: bacterial SSU rRNA
Rfam family: Bacterial small subunit ribosomal RNA
Source: RNAcentral
UGGGGAAUAUUGCACAAUGGGCGCAAGCCUGAUGCAGCCAUGCCGCGUGUAUGAAGAAGGCCUUCGGGUUGUAAAGUACUUUCAGCGAGGAGGAAGGCAUUGUGGUUAAUAACCACAGUGAUUGACGUUACUCGCAGAAGAAGCACCGGCUAACUCCGUGCCAGCAGCCGCGGUAAUACGGAGGGUGCAAGCGUUAAUCGGAAUUACUGGGCGUAAAGCGCACGCAGGCGGUUGAUUAAGUCAGAUGUGAAAUCCCCGAGCUUAACUUGGGAACUGCAUUUGAAACUGGUCAGCUAGAGUCUUGUAGAGGGGGGUAGAAUUCCAGGUGUAGCGGUGAAAUGCGUAGAGAUCUGGAGGAAUACCGGUGGCGAAGGCGGCCCCCUGGACAAAGACUACGCUCAG